Molecule: ribosomal RNA, 388 nt
Filed under: uncultured bacterium
Lineage: Bacteria
Description: bacterial SSU rRNA
Rfam family: Bacterial small subunit ribosomal RNA
Source: RNAcentral
GACGAACGCUGGCGGCGCGCUUAACACAUGCAAGUCGAGCGGUAAGGCCCUUUCGGGGGUACACGAGCGGCGAACGGGUGAGUAACACGUGGGUGACCUGCCCUCAGCUCUGGGAUAAGCCCGGGAAACUGGGUCUAAUACUGGAUAUGACUCCAUGACGCAUGUUGUGGGGUGGAAAGCCUUGUGCGGCUGGGGAUGGGCCCGCGGCCUAUCAGCUUGUUGGUGGGGUGAUGGCCUACCAAGGCGACGACGGGUAGCCGGCCUGAGAGGGCGACCGGCCACACUGGGACUGAGACACGGCCCAGACUCCUACGGGAGGCAGCAGUGGGGAAUCUUGCGCAAUGGGCGAAAGCCUGACGCAGCGACGCCGCGUGAGGGAUGACGGCCU